This 2336-nucleotide long non-coding RNA is filed under the name Zea mays. RNAcentral describes it as "long non-coding RNA (ZMAY_LNC002210)". The record is from RNAcentral. Lineage: Eukaryota; Viridiplantae; Streptophyta; Magnoliopsida; Poales; Poaceae.
UGGUUGCGUCUGCACCACCGAUUGGGGGCCUCAGCGGGUGGUUAGGGAGGUUUGCCUGGGUGCAUCGCCCAUGGGAGCCUCCUUGAUAAUCGGGGUAGUGCAUCUUGGUGAUUGGAAUUUGUCAUCGAUGGCGCUCCGUCGCUGCAAUGCCGCCGCGCAACGUCGCCAGGCUUCACCGACGCCGAAUCCGAGGUAUGUGGCCUCCUCAGUUGUUCAUCGUGGUCCGCUUGUCGUGCUAAGCCUUUCGGGUGGUGGUUGGUGCGCGGGGGCGUCGGAGCAUGGUGCGCCGGCGGGAGCUCCGCCGUGAGCACUGUGCGCCGUCGCGCUGAUGAUCAGGGGAGGAAGAACAGAUUUAGUCCGUUAGAUGUCGAUCCAGUGGCUAUAAUUAGAUCGGGUGGGAACACUGAGCGCCGUCAGAUGUUGAGUGUACGGUUAAGAUGGGAGAGUGAGGCUCUGCCGUUAGAUACACACUGAUCGGCUUAGAUUUAAUGGAAUCUAAUCCCAGAAUCAACGGUCCUAAUGGUGUACCGGUUCAAUAGAGCUUGGAUCUAAUCCCAAUCGUCCAUCUCAGAUCGCACGGCCUAGAAUGUGCGAUAACCCCUUCGCCUCGGGUUUUAUUCAAAAGAGACCCCGUAAUAUUUAUAAAUUAACCCGCCGUCCACCGUGGGUGGAAUCUGUGUAUGAGGUAUUUUUAUGCGACAACCCCCGUACUUGUCUGUAUUAUGCGCACAGUCCACGAAACAGAGAAAAUAAGUAAAUAAAUGCAGAAAAUAGAUAUUUAGUAUAAAAACAAUUCCAAAACCUAGUUUAAUUUAUAUAAAAUUCGUUUUAACUCCUUUUUAGCCCAUUCUAAAUCUUGAAAUUUUGUAAUAUGAUUCUUUAUCAUUUAGAACCACUGUUUUGACAUGAAUAUCGCAAUAAAAUUUAUAUCCUAUUUAUAUCCUAUCUAAUCUUGUACAAAGCACAUAAAACCUUCAGAAAUUCAUAACUUAAAAUCUAUAACUCCAAAAUUAAUGAUUCCUGUUCCUAGAAUAUUAUUUUAAUGUGUAGAUUAUUAUUAUGUAUUUUGUUUACAUGUUUGGUGUGAUGUUAAUUUUGCCUAUACUAUGUUUGUUUGUAUUGCUACGGCUAGCGUGAGGUCACGAGUCAUGUGAAGAUCAUCCUGGUACCUGGAAUCUCAAGUUCCAAGCAAGUUGUGCCCUUGAUCACUUCUUUUUACCCAGUCAUGUUCUGAUUAAUCAUAAUGAUCUGUAUAGGUUAAUUUUGAUGAGACCCAACAGGUUACCAUAGUUUGACUAUCUUUAUACCUUGUUUACCACUGAAUUCUUGGGUAGAACCUGCUAUUGCUUUAUGUGGUUUUGGGUAUAGAGAUACAUAUUAUUCAUGAUUAUAUUUUGUUAUCAGUUGUUAUUUACUGUUCAUGUUAAGAUCAUUAUGUUAAUUGGAACAUGGAGAACCACCCGGGAAAACAGUGCUACCACAAGGGUGGUAUGGGACGCCCUUGGCUGACUAAUUAGGAAAGCUAGUGGAGGACUACCUUACCAGAAAGGGGCAAGGGCAGUAGGGGAGUGGUCAAUGUAGGGAGGUCCUUGGGUUGAUUUUGUUGCGAUGGCGGUCAGGCGAGGGAUCCCUGCAUUGGAGCUUCCUAGAAACUGUAGCGGGUUUUCUAAAGCUAGUGGAACUUUGUAAAGGCCUCAUAGUGUUACCCUGCCUCGCCUCUUCGGUAGAGGUGUAUGGGAUUGGUCGUCUCUUGGCAGAUGGGUAACAUGACUUGUGGGUAAAGAUGUGCAACCUCUGCAGAGUGUAAAACUGGUAUACUAGUCGUGCUCACGGUCAUGAGCAGCUCAGACACUUACAUGAUUAAUUUAUGGAACUAAAUUCAAUUUGUCAUAUGCAUUGCAUAGCAGGUGAUGUUGUUACUUUUGUUCUACUACUUAAUUGGGUUGGUAUUUACUUAUACUUAAUAACUGCUAAUAAAAUUUUGACCAACUUUAAAAGCAAUGCUCGACUCUAACCAUCCUCAUUGGUAAGCCUUACACUUCACAUGAGCUCCCACUUUUGGCGAGUUCAUGCACAUUAUUCCCCACAACUUGUUGAGCUAUGAACGUAUGUGAGCUCACUCUUGCUGUCUCACCCCCACAGGUCAAGAACAGGUACCGCAGGAUGAGGCGCAUGGAGGAUGUUGCGAUAUGUUCGUGAGAGGUCUAGGCCAUCGUCUCCCAGUCAACUUUGGGUUGCUGGACCGUUGUCUCCUUAUAAUUUAAUUAUUUAUUUAUUUUGUAUAGAACUCCUAUUAUAUAGUAAAGAUGUGACAUUCGAUCCUGUGCCAUGAUUCA